Molecule: long non-coding RNA, 910 nt
Organism: Hyalella azteca
Lineage: Eukaryota; Metazoa; Arthropoda; Malacostraca; Amphipoda; Hyalellidae
Exons: 3
Source: RefSeq, a predicted model, not a curated record
UUCCAGUCGCACCAAGUGGCGCAAGACGGAGAAGACGUACGUGGGUGUCAAGAGCGCUAUAUAGGCCUCUACGGCGCACUGAAGAUGUGCGCAAGAACAGCCGAGGAGCCACUGAAGUAAUUCAUGAAGGUUAUCGCUCUCUGGCGGCUCAGCGUCAACAAAAACACUGGAAAAAAAUAUGGAAGUGCGGAAGAAAUAACAUGCCCUGGUGAUAACCAUGCUGAUUGCUGAUGAAUACAAAGCAAUGUUUUCUUCAACAGUUUCAUCAAGUUUUUAUUUUCUGUUGUUCUCAAAUUUUAUGUUAUUCUUGUCUCCCGGCUUUUCAUCGGUAUGGCUUUGCCCAGGCACUGAAUCAAAAUAUGCAAUACCGGUCAUUCGUUUCCAGGCUUUCAUCUUCAUUCGGCAAUGUAUUGCUUCCCCGUUUUGAGGAAACGCUGUGGAGGAAUGCUUGCAACUUAAGAAAAUCCAAAUCGCAUAUCGCUAUCGGCACAUAAUGAGAUACAAACAAACUUUGAAAGGAAUUAAUGCAGAGUUUAACUGUGACUUUAAUUCUGACUAUGACAGUUUCUUAAUUUGCUGGAAAAUGAAAAGUUUUCGGUAGAACGAACAUUCCUGUCUUCCAUAAAUGGCACAUGCAUUGGCUCCUGCAUGAUGUCGGUAACACAAUUUUUGUCAUUUUACUGAAACUCAGAAAAUGCUAUAGCAAUCAUCAUCACUCCGAUUUUAUAUUGAAGUGGCAACUCAAGUGUUGUAGAUCACAAUAAUUAUGGUUUAAAUAAAAUGAUCAAUGCACAAUUACUGUUUGUUUUACCAUUAUCGUCAUACUGCUUAUAAGGAGAAUGAAUGGUCGCAACAUCGGUGGCCGGUGAGAGACUAUACGCAAUAGCCCUUCACAUUGAAAGGCGUUUUC